AACUUUCAACAACGGAUCUCUUGGUUCUCGCAUCGAUGAAGAACGCAGCGAAUUGCGAUAUGUAAUGUGACUUGCAGAAUUCAGUGAAUCAUCGAAUCUUUGAACGCACCUUGCGCCCUUUGGUAUUCCGAAGGGCAUGCCUGUUUGAGUGUCAUUAAAUUCUCAACUUCAAAAUUUCUUGUUUUGAAGCUUGGAUGUUGGAGGGCUUUGCAGGCAUAUAGUAAUGUCAGCUCCUCUUAAAUGCAUUAGCAGAACUUGUACGUUCGGCUCUGGUUUGAUAAUCCUAUCUAUGCCAUCGCUGAAAGGUCAUUGUUCAGCUUCUAAUGGUCCACUUAUUGGACUGUCUCUUUGGAGGCAUAUCUUUUGACUUGACCUCAAAUCAGGUAGGACUACCCGCUGAACUUAAGCAUAUCAAUAAGCGGAGGCU
Molecule: unclassified non-coding RNA, 427 nt
Filed under: uncultured Clavariaceae
Lineage: Eukaryota; Fungi; Basidiomycota; Agaricomycetes; Agaricales; Clavariaceae
Description: sequence contains ITS2
Rfam family: 5.8S ribosomal RNA (bases 1-154)
Source: RNAcentral